RNAcentral lists this long non-coding RNA (886 nucleotides) under Homo sapiens (human). Its description in RNAcentral is "FEZF1 antisense RNA 1". The record is from RNAcentral. Lineage: Eukaryota; Metazoa; Chordata; Mammalia; Primates; Hominidae.
GAGCACCUGGGCAGAGCAAGCGGAGAGGCGCCACAUCCCCGAGAGGCGCUUCGUAGUUGUCCUUGGACCGGGCGCAGACACUCAGUAUUGCAGCGAAAAAUCCCCCUCCUGCUGCACUCCUCCGCCACCGGGCUAGGUUGAAAGGAAAAAGCCAAGAAGCGCGAAGCAGCCCGGCUCUGGAAGGCUUUGGAGAGUCCAGCUGACUUGUACACAAUUCGCGGCCUCUGGAGCCUUACCUGCCUUCUUGACUGAAUGCCACCAGUUCGUUUUACGCUUGUGGCUUUUUGUUGAAGUCCCUAUCAUAAGCAAAUGCAGUUUCUGGCUAUGGUUACUGCAAUUCGAAAUAAAAGGCCUGUGAGGUGUGUCCCUCCAGACUGAGAGGCUAUGACUCAGGGUUGGACUUUAUGGAAAAAAAGAAGUUUAUAAAACAAGUAACCCAGUUUCUCCAACCUUUACUGUGGAGCAACAGCGUCAAGCAACAAAACCCAGCAAAGUUUUGCUUGUCACUUACAAGGGUGUUACUGAAAUCUGGAAGGCGAACAAUUAGAAGAUAGCCCAAACAUGCUCUAUUGCUCUACACUGAAAUACUUGCCUCCAAUAAUAGAAAAAACCUGUUUUCGUGCAAUUGAUUGAUUAGCGUUCUGCAGCAGUCCCUGGACAAUUUUAAAGACAUUUUGUGUUUGUGGCCAAAAUUAGAAACAAGCAGACACACACACAAAACAACCAUAUUCAAGACACGGUUCGACUGUUUCCUUGACACUACCCACGAAGUUUAAAGCAUUUUUUAUGUUAUUUUCAAACUUUCUUAAGUGAUCCCAUGAAAUAAAAGUCGAUAAUAGAAAUUAAAACAACACAGAGCAAAGAACGAGCUUAGUGAAAUGGAGAA